GACUACAGGGGUAUCUAAUCCUGUUCGAUCCCCACGCUUUCGUGCCUCAGUGUCAGUUUCGCCUUCGUGAGCUGUCUUCACUAUCGGUGUUCUGUGCCAUAUCUAAGCAUUUCACCGCUACACGGCACAUUCCGCCCACGUCAAGCGUACUCAAGAGCGACAGUAUCAAUGGCAAUUUUACGGUUAAGCCGCAAGAUUUCACCACUGACUUAUCGCCCCACCUACGCACCCUUUAAACCCAAUGAAUCCGGAUAACGCUUGCACCCUUCGUAUUACCGCGGCUGCUGGCACGAAGUUAGCCGGUGCUUAUUCCUCCGGUACCGUCAACCCAGGACACGUCCUGGGGUUUCUUCCCGGUUAAAAGCAGUUUACAACGCGUAGCGCCUUCUUCCUGCACGCGGCAUGGCUGCGUCAGAGUUGCCUCCAUUGCGCAAUAUUCCUCACUGCAGCCCCCCGUAGG
RNAcentral lists this ribosomal RNA (460 nucleotides) under uncultured Bacteroidota bacterium. RNAcentral's name for it is "uncultured Bacteroidetes bacterium partial 16S ribosomal RNA". The record is from RNAcentral. Lineage: Bacteria; Pseudomonadati; Bacteroidota.